GAUGAACGCUGGCGGCGUGCCUAAUACAUGCAAGUCGAGCGAACGGACGCGAAUCUUGCUUCUCUGAUGUUAGCGGCGGACGUGUGAGUAACACGUGGAUAACCUCCCUAUAAGACUGGUAUAACUUCGGGAAACCGGCGCUAAUCCCGGAUAAUCUUUUGAACCGCAUGGUUCAAUAGUGAAUGACGGUCUUGCUGUCACUUCUCGCUGCUUCCGCGCUGCAUUAGCUAGUUGGUAAGGUAACGGCUUACCAAGGCAACGAUGCAUAGCCGACCGGCGAGGGGGAUAGGCCACACUGGAACUGAGACACGGUCCAGGCUCCUAAGGGAGGCAGCAGUAGGGAAUCGGCGGCAAUGGGCGAAAGCAUGGCGGAGCAACGCCGAGUGAGUGAUGAAGGUCUUCGGAUCGUAAAAAUCUGUUAUUAGGGAAGAACAGAUGUGUAAGGAACUGUGCACAGCGUGACGGUACCUAAUCAGAAAGCAACGGCUAACUACGUG
Molecule: ribosomal RNA, 497 nt
Filed under: uncultured bacterium
Lineage: Bacteria
Description: partial 16S ribosomal RNA
Rfam family: Bacterial small subunit ribosomal RNA
Source: RNAcentral